This is a long non-coding RNA of Lagenorhynchus albirostris (white-beaked dolphin), 157 nucleotides long. RefSeq lists it as uncharacterized. NCBI's taxonomy places the organism in Eukaryota, Metazoa, Chordata, Mammalia, Artiodactyla, Delphinidae. The transcript is spliced from 4 exons. The record is from RefSeq and is a predicted model, not a curated record.
UUCCCGCCUGGCAGGCCCCUCUUUGGAGUGCUCUGUGGAGUAGCAGAACUUUGGAGAAUGAUACGUAUUACAAGAGCUUUAUUUGGAGGACGCACUGGAGAGACCCCGAGACCGAGAAUGCCACCCAAAAGGUUGGGCAAGUCGGGAGACCUCACUG